CAUUUCUCUACUUGCCCUCGCGUUCACACUCUACCGGCGGACGACGGCGGACGCGACGCGGCUGUGAGCUGCUCUUUUCCCCGCGUCGCGUCGCGCUCGAAAAAAAAACUAUAUAACACGUGCCGGGGCCUCGGCUCUGCCACCGUUCUACAGCUCCGACUGAGAAGGGAAUCCCCGCCGGCGCCGGCCUCCAAUCCAUCCCGCAGCCUCUCCUCCAUCCUCGAGCAUCUCGCCGGCCGGCCUGUCACCUCCGAUACUGCUCCUACCUCCACGUCAGGAGCCUAGCUAGCUAGCUAGUCGCGGGAGCUAAGAGAUGACGUGGCCUACGCCGCCGUUCCUGUACGCGCCGUCGCCGUUGGUGGCGGGGGCGUCGGCGGCGGGCGCCGUCGUGAUGGCCUUCCUGGCCAUCUCCGAGUUCUGCGGCGACAACCUGACCUACUCCAAGUUCUGGGGCCCCGCCGGCGGCGGUGGCCGGAGGCCCGCGGCGCUCCUGGUGUCGAGCCACCGAUCUAAUUAAAUGAGUGGCUCACAGUUAUUUGGGUGUACCACAGUAAAACCCUCUAUCAUUAAUACUAUUCCGUCUGUAAGUUUGGUGCAUAUAUGAAACACAAAGGCACAGAAAGAGCAGUAGCUGAGGUCGCCAUGUACAGCCCAUGCCCCAUGGACAAGAACCUGUCGGUAAGUUCUUGGCACCGUAUAUAUACAGUUGCUAAAACAUACACUGUAUAUAUGUUGCAGGAAAAAUCAUCUUCAUCAUUGCAAGUCAGUUGAACUUGAAAGGUUCAUGUUCAGAUAACCUGAACAUGAAAGGUUGUAACCUCUCUGGAAACAAAUCAUCAGGCCCACUACUCUGUGACUCAUAAUAAUGUAAGGAUCAAGGAUCAAGGACAUAGGCCCAAGAGAGCCGUCAACGCGCCGUACUUCCCCUGCACUCAUGCUUGCUGCGACGGCACCAUGCAUAACCUUGUGCUCCCCAUCCAGCAACGUGCUGUUUUGCUCCAUCAGCGCCAGCGUGACGGCGUGUCAUCCUGCAACUGCGAGAAGAGAUUAACGCAAAGGAAGUGGCUGGGAGCCUGGGAGGGGGAAGAAUGGUGGUGGCAGUAGGCGAGCGCCGGCGUGGAUGCGGCCUGCGGCGUGGAGACGGGCAGGCGCUAGUGUGGAGGUGGCCGGGCGGCGGCAUGGAGCCGGGCCGCGCGCCGCUCCUUGCACUGCAGUCGGCCGGCGCUGGCUCUUAUUACCAGGACGGAUUUUGGCGGGGAAGAAGCAAAAUAGCACGUGCCACAUCCAAAUCCCACGACCUUGCUUGGAGACGACGCACCCCAUACAGCAGUAGCUCAUCGCCUUUGCUCAUUCAAUUCGAGAUAGCACGUUGUCAAAAAAAAAA
Molecule: long non-coding RNA, 1384 nt
Organism: Sorghum bicolor (sorghum)
Lineage: Eukaryota; Viridiplantae; Streptophyta; Magnoliopsida; Poales; Poaceae
Exons: 2
Source: RefSeq, a predicted model, not a curated record